Molecule: RNA transcript, 6245 nt
Organism: Siniperca chuatsi (mandarin fish)
Lineage: Eukaryota; Metazoa; Chordata; Actinopteri; Centrarchiformes; Sinipercidae
Gene: dtd1
Gene name: D-aminoacyl-tRNA deacylase 1
Exons: 6
Source: RefSeq, a predicted model, not a curated record
CGGAAGCAGAGAAGAUGUACUGCGUGCUUCGGCCGCUAGAGGGCGACACCGUCCCGUCCACGCCGUGAGUCCUCGGAAGUUGAGAGCGUGUUCCCCGAUAGAACCAAAACAAUGAAAGCUAUCGUUCAGAGGGUCACCAAGGCGACUGUGACAGUAGGAGAAGAACAGAUCAGUUCAAUAGGACGAGGACUGUGUGUACUGCUGGGUAUAUCAGUGGAGGACACCCAGAGGGAUGCUGACUACAUAGUACGCAAGAUCCUGAACCUGCGGCUGUUUGAAGACGAGAACGGCCGAGCGUGGAGCAAAAGUGUCAUGGACAGGGACUUUGAGGUGCUGUGUGUGAGCCAGUUCACACUGCAGUGUAUACUGAAAGGCAACAAGCCAGACUUCCACUCAGCGAUGCCUGCAGAGUUGGCCCAGCCCUUCUACGACAGCAUCAUGGAGAACAUGAGGAGUGCAUACAAGCCAGAGCUCAUUAAGGACGGGAAGUUUGGGGCCUACAUGCAGGUCCACAUUCAAAACGACGGACCUGUUACCGUUGAACUGACAUCACCUGCUGGUCCCACAGACCCCAAACAGCUGUCAAAGCAGGAGAAGCAGCAGCAGAGGAAAGAGAAGACGCGCUCCAAGGGCCCCUCAGAGUCGAGCAGGGAGAAAGGCACCCAACGUUCCCGACAUGACCACAAUGCCAGUAGUGGAGCCGAGGGUGAUGUGUCGUCAGAGAGGGAGCCCUAGGUCAGCAGAGUGAGGGAGCCUAGGAGAUGUACAUACAAAUACACACAAAUGCAUGCAGUCACAUUUAUUACACGCUCAUACACACACCACACACCAGUGUCUGCGGGUCCUUAAAACAUCACACGUCUUUCAUUUUCUUUAUUUCUUGUGUUCUUGGAGGUCUUGAAUCAUUCAGCAUGUUAUAAAGGCUAAUCCUCUAAGAUACAUUUUUGUGCAACUGUAAAUUUAGUUUUAUUCAUCAUAUUUGAUGAUAUUUAGGGUCAAUAAAAAAUACCAGCAAAGUUUUUUUCCCCAUUACUUCAGCUUUACUAACCGCAAGAUAACUUAAAAAUGUAAAAAUGUAUUUUUAGCCCCUUUCAGAGCUGCUCUUCAUUACCUUAAUAUGUUGUUGGCAAUUUAAAAUGUUGGUCUCAUCUUUGAAUAAGUACCAAAGUCACUUUUCCAUAAAAGUAAUGACAAGUAACAUUUCACUUGCAGCUAAAGUCUAAAUUAUGUUUCUCACCCCUAACGAAUGGGCUUCAGUACACACAAGGUUUAUACGCAGAGAGAUAUUAAAUGUAUAUUAAUUGCAUAUUAUUUCCCCUUCUUAAAGGUGCCAUAUGUAAGAUUCUGAAGCCUUUUACGCAUUAAUUUGAUGUAUUAAUCACUUUUUAUCGCCAAUUUGUCAACGGGUUGUAACGUUACUUAAAUAUGAAACAUUCCUCAACUUUCUCGGUUGUUUCUAACAGCCUGCGGACUGAUUUCUAAGUAAAGGACUCAGGUUGGUUUUUCCGGGAAAAUCCAAAGGAUGUGACGUUUAUGCGCGCUCCUGAGUGCCUUCUCUCUGCGCUUCCCCACCAUGGAUGUAUUAUUAGUCUUAUUAUACAUCUAUGUUCCCCACAGUGUCAACAGUGUGUGACUGUGACACUAACUAACGUUAGCUUAGAAAUUGAGUCUGCUAACCUCAACAAAUGACCAGCACCCAUUCCACACAGUCCAACACAAAGUCCAAAGUCAAAGCUAACAUUACUGCAAAGCAUGUGAAAUAUAUUGUGAUAUUGUGGUUUUAGCUGGCGAAUGUUAGCUUGCUUGCUCACUAACAUUAUCGCUAGCAAAAUACUAUCUGAGUGGAUAUGUUAUUUGGCUAGCUUGCCAAAUUACGUCACCAGCUAAUGUGAUCCAUGAAAUUAACUUAUGUAUUAAGACAAACUGUGUUGAUUUUAACCAACAAUAAAUGAUGUAACGGUACAAAGCAAAGGUGUAUAACGAUUGCUUUCUACUAGUCAAGAGCAGCUAGCUAACUGUAACCUAAGCUAAGCUGGGGUUGGCCGGCUGGAUGUGGCUUGACUGCGCGGUGUGGGACUGGCGUUGGUUGCUUUGUGGUGUUGGAUGAUGGGGUUAGUAUCAUGGCGCCAAUGUUCUAAAUCAAGUAUAGGAACAUUACAGAUAGUAAUCUUAUUCUAAAUAUCAUUGUAAUUUAUUUUCCAGCAUUCAGUGUUCAUUUCAGCGUUCAGUCUCGUGUAUGUCACUUUUGGCCGAUGCCUAGCACGAUGCUAGCUUGCGCCUAAAACAGGAUGCUGACUGCAGUUCACUUAAAAGCCAAAGGUGUCAUCUGCCCACGAAUGUUUUCUCCGGCCCGAGGCUCGAGCCAUCCACGAUCCUCAAAAAGCAAUGAGUGCCCUUUGAUUUGCCGGCUCAUACAAUAAAUGUUUCGUUUCGUUGUUGCUGGGCUCUCUUAUUACACUAGUUUGUUACGUCAACUAGCAAUCCCUGUAGAUUCAAUUGGUCUCACUGCGUGUCUGCGUGUCUUAACAAGGGUUUUCUGAAAGUUUAUAUAUAAAACCUUUAAGCAUUUUGUAAUAAAUCUGUUACUUAAUUAUCAUUUAUUGUUUUGGGUUUUUUAGCCACCUUAACAAUGUGUUAGCAGUUUACACAUGUUGCAGUUGCCUAUUUACACAUCUAGCAGACACAGAACAACAUUACCAUUCAUUUUAAGUUGUGUUUGUGUCCACCUGAUGAAUUUAAGUCCUAUAUUCACUCUCCUUUUAGCUCUGUUCUCAUCUCCAUAAACUCCUGAGAAAAAUAUCUGGCUCAUAUGCUGCUAAAUGCUUCAUUCGUCUCUCUGCUGUUUGGUGCUUUGGCUUUACUAUGACUUCAUAUUUUCUGUUCUCCUUUUUUCUUAUACCUCUCAUUUAUAAAUAUAAAGAGUUAGAUUAAAUUAAAAAGUGUUCUGUAUGAAAUUCAGAAACCCUGAUAGACCUGAACACCUGAGAAAGAAACAAUAUUUAGAACAUUUACAGCUGUGCCUUUUUGCAAGAGAUUGCACAGUUGUUUUUUUGUCUUUUGCACUGUCAACAAAUACAGUUACCCCCAAAAAUAGUUAUCUCCCAUUUAUUAUAUUAGUGCAUUGUGUCAAGUACAAUAUGGCAGCUUUAAAGGUGCAGUGAGAGGAAAAAAGGAGUAUCUCUGUUUUCCACUUCUCCCUUUCCUGUCCGUGGCUGCUCUCUUUGUUAUUGUUGACGUUGAUGUGAAACUCAGCAACGCUCAUGAGAGACAGACCUGUUUGUUUCUCAUUCUGUGGUUCAUAUUGCGGGGAUGAGGAGGGGGAGAGCAGGGGUUGGGGUUGCUCUUAUUUGCUUUCAGUAUUUGUUUACUAGUGCAAAAACAGAGAAGUUCUGGGAGAAUAGAGACGGGGAGGCAUUGAGUCAGCUCUCUCUGUGUCCCUUCUGCUCUCCAUGCUGAGGCUGCUGCUGCUGCUGCUGCUGCUGCUGGCUCCCGUGGCACAGCUCCUCUCCCUGUGUGAACUCUCUGGCAGGCACGCACAUAAACGGAUACGCCGUCAAACUGGCACUGCACCCGCACUUUAACUGUACCAAUGCGUCUAAGUGCGUGUGGACAGAGGAACAGGAAGUAUGGCCGCUGUUAGUUAUAUACAGACAGAAGCAUGUCUGACACUAGUAUGGACGUCUGAAAUUCACCAAUGAGGUGUGUUGCAUUAUUUUUGUCUUGUUUGGUACAUUUUUAUCUGUCUAUAGCGUCUCCAUAAACACACACACGUGCGUACACACACCCUGUCCCAUGUGGGACCUUGUAAGCCUGUAGUCCUCUACUCCUCUACACCAGGGGGCCCUGCACUGUAAUCCCCAAGUGCAUGUUGGGUAAAUAUGUGCCCCACGACAUAGAGGCUUCAGCACAUCAUUACAUAAGGCCUUUUUGUCUGACAGAGAGCCAGACAGAGGGAGAUGGGAGAAAGAGGGGGAAAUGAGAAAGAAGAAGAAGAAGCAGUCUGAGAAGACGAGAGAAUUAUUUGGUUUUUCAUCUCUGGGUGUUCAGCAGGGGAGUGCACACACAGCACUUCUGGAAAUGUGUGCACUGUGGUGAGAGGAGAGGGAAUUUGGAUGUAAGAGAGAUGUCAGACAAGGGGCUUGCUUGCUUGGCUCUGUCGCUGCAUAUUUUAAAGAGGGAAUUGGUGUUCCCGGGGUUUGCUUUGCGUGACUUAAACAUGAGCAUUCCUCCGAAUGAGUAAUUUGUGACAGUCCUCCAUUAUCUUUUCUGGUCUUCCUUCCUUCGUGUCUGCAGUGUUCUGAUUUUGAUAUAAACAGCUUAUUAAGAAGGGUUUCUGCUGCUCGUCAGGCUGCUGUGAGCAAUUUCUAGCCCACAUUGUCAACUGCUGUUCUAAUGUUUGCAAAUCACCUAUUACAGACCUGUUAGAGAUAUAUUCAGUGAGUAUAUGUAAUUUCUAUUUUUAAAUUUUUAUAUGGCUGCUUUCACAAUGUUGUGCCUUUUUUAUAUUCAAUAAAGCCUACAGUCACAUUCUGUGUUUGUGCAAUCUGCUGAUAAAAUCUGCCAAUAAAAUGCUAAUACCAAUUUCCCCAUUGAUCACUUUUUCUCACUGAAUUUGUAUCUGUUCUCCUAAAAUAGCUCUGGAUAAGGGCAAUCUUUCUUUAAAGCGGCACUAAUCAGUAUUUUUAGUAUUUAGCAAUGAAUCGGUGUGUAAUGGAAAGUUGUCACUCAUAGUGAUGAUCCCACAGAAUUAUCACCAAACUCUGCAGUUCCCCUCAGCUAUUUGGACUGUUUUAGUGUCUUUCAGCCUAUUGGUUUGGAUUCUCCAACCACAACUUUGCUCACAGAAACAGAGACGAAAGGAGAGUGACUAUUGGAUCUGCAUCCCUAAGAUGUCAUACUGGGGACAUGACGGUGAGCCAAGUUUCCUCAGGAAGGCCUUAAUCCUUAGUAACUCUUACACCUGAUCGUGGACUGUCCUCCUUCCUGUUUGGAAAUCAGCAGGAUUCGCUUGGCCUGUCACAGAACAUCGUCCCCUUGCUUGGCUUCUCUCCUCCAGAUAUCAGAUCAGAUAGGAUUGGCUAGGUAUAAACAAAGUAGCAAAGUCUAACCACAAGACAGUGCCCAGUUUUCUUAGAUUGAUGAAGAGAGAUUGAAUCCAUAUUCAAUUGAUGCAUAUUUAUUGCACCAGUAACACCUCAUGAUUUGUAUACAGGUAGUUACAUGUGUAAAGUCUGUUUUAAAAGGUUAUUGUACCUGUAUGAAUAGACUAUAUGUUUAAGGUCCAAGUGAAAUUGUUACAGCACACAGGGCUGCUCUGUAAAUUACAUGCCCUGUGCUCUCUUUUGAGAAAAAAUCAAUACGCAAAAGGGGGAAAUUUAUAUUUCAUAGCUAGGCAGCAACCCAACAAAACACACAAAAAAAAAAGCCUCCGACAACCCACAUUAAAUUAGCUUGUCUCCUUUUCCUCCUACAAGCAUGGACAAAUGUCUUGUGUUGCAUCUUAGCUUGCUAAAUUAGCUAACAAACAAAGAUCCACCAUGGGAAAAGUGCCUUGCUAACGUCAGGAUAGAUAGCUAAUUAGCUAGUUAGCUGAACAGCUUAUAAACGUACCUGCACAUGUCAACAUUGGAGGGUUUAGUUGCUAAAUGGUGUGGUCCUUACUCUUUAAUGCCGUUGCUAACAAAACGCUAUAUGUCCUUAGCUUUUAAACUACAGUUACGGACUUAAGUUUGUUUACAUUGUCUCUCUGUGGUUGACACUGUAAACACCUACAUCAGCCCUCCCACUCAGAGGCUCGGAGGCCAAAGGCGCAUUCUAAAUUAUCUUUAAAAGACAUUGUUAAAAAGAAUAUUAGCAAUACGUUUAAAAAUCACUUUCUUUCACAUGAUCUUUUUCUGCAUAAACUGAUGACUAAUUGUUAUUUCAGUUGGACCUUAAAAUCCUAAAAGAUUACCUGUAUGUCUGUAUGUUUUGUCGCCUUGCCGUACCCACAGAGAGGAAAUGAUGGUUUUGACUGCAGGGAGGGAUACUGCCAUACCGCUCGCUACAGCUGUAGUCAAGUUUACGUCUAGGAUCGAAUAGCUUCAGCUUAGUCACUACAAGUCUGUUUGUCUCAAUUACACUGCCACCCGUGUGGUUGGGCAGACUACUAUUUAUUAAUGUUUUUGAUUAUUACACUGUCAACUUGGACAGAUCUGAUUGUACAUUUUGUUGCCAUUUUAUAAAGAUGUCAAUAGAAAAAGUGA